This 248-nucleotide long non-coding RNA is filed under the name Lathyrus oleraceus (garden pea). Its description in RNAcentral is "Pisum sativum (pea) long non-coding RNA (PSAT_LNC015353)". Lineage: Eukaryota; Viridiplantae; Streptophyta; Magnoliopsida; Fabales; Fabaceae. The record is from RNAcentral.
AUGGACCAUGAUAUGCUAUGACCUAAUAUGAAAAUGUAUGUACAAUGAUAGGUGCAAAUUUGAGGUGCUACAGCUGCCCCUAUUCAAUCAGCUGGGAACCCGAAUGGAUGAGAGCAACGGCUGUCAGACUUUCAGGGUAAACAGGGAUUGAAUACCAAGAACCGUAGAAUUUGCACAAUACAGGGAUCCACCAAUGGAAACGUCCACUGGGAUUUGAUAUUUAUUACUGGGUAUUUUGUUUUGUUUUU